Molecule: ribosomal RNA, 465 nt
Filed under: uncultured bacterium
Lineage: Bacteria
Description: bacterial SSU rRNA
Rfam family: Bacterial small subunit ribosomal RNA
Source: RNAcentral
UGCCAGACUCCUACGGGAGGCAGCAGUGAGGAAUAUUGGUCAAUGGGCGCGAGCCUGAACCAGCCAAGUCGCGUGAGGGAAGACGGUCCUAUGGAUUGUAAACCUCUUUUGUCGGGGAGCAAGGCCCGCCACGUGUGGCGGGAAGGAGAGUACCCGAAGAAAAAGCAUCGGCUAACUCCGUGCCAGCAGCCGCGGUAAUACGGAGGAUGCGAGCGUUAUCCGGAUUUAUUGGGUUUAAAGGGUGCGCAGGCGGAAUGUCAAGUCAGCGGUAAAAUUUCGGGGCUCAACCCCGUCGUGCCGUUGAAACUGGCGUUCUUGAGUGAGCGAGAAGUAUGCGGAAUGCGUGGUGUAGCGGUGAAAUGCAUAGAUAUCACGCAGAACUCCGAUUGCGAAGGCAGCAUACCGGCGCUCAACUGACGCUCAUGCACGAAAGCGUGGGUAUCGAACAGGAUUAGAUACCCAGUA